CUCUUUAGUAUUUCUCACCACUCAAUUCCUAUAUUUUCAUGAGAGGUGUCUACACGGUCAUAUUAUUUGUUUUCUCCCUCACUUUUUUUGUCACUCUUUUUAAAGUUUUUCUCACACUUACAUAUUUUUCAUACUUUUAAUUUGCGUUUGUUUCAUAGGCGAAUUGCAAAUGGCUUAGAAGAAUUUAUUCCAAAUCUAGAGAGUCUCUGAUCUUGACAGGAACUUGAUUGAUGAGUUAGGCGAUUUAGAUCCCCUCAGCACACUGCACAAAACUCACCACACUUAGUUUAUUGUAUUGUCCGGUUACAACACAAACAGACACUAAACGCACUACAGGCUGUAUGUUGUACAAGAUUCCUCAACUGACCUUCUGGAUUUCAAGAAAAUACGACUAAAGGAAAGAGAAGAGGCUGCAGCUCUGUUCAAUAGUGAUUAUGGGAAAGAAAUGCGCAGAACCUUGGAAAAAAGAUCGAAGGCUAAACCUUUUGUUCCUGGAGCUCCUCUUAGUAGACCUGCCAACGUGGAACAUCUAAUGGUCCUUCAUCGGAACAAAUUCAGAAAAUUAGAGAAGCUAUAUUUCGAAAGCUUCAUCUUUGGAAGAAGUUGAACGACUCAAUCGACUCUUACAAGCAGGACAAAUACCUUCAAACUCUAAAAGUAAGAUAAUAUUUUUUUCUUGUCAUAUUUUUUUCUCUGCAAAAAAGUACAAAGAAAGAAAGUAGCAAAAAUUUUGUUUCAAGAUUACAUUCCAAGCACUAUCGUAACGACAAAUGAAAAUUUGUUGUGUUUUGUAAAAUUUUAGUACAAUGGUCGCACUUAAUAAAUUGAAAACCAAUCAUUUUAAACUGAGGCGUAAGCUGUGAGCCUCCAUA
This 872-nucleotide long non-coding RNA is filed under the name Bemisia tabaci. Its description in RNAcentral is "lncRNA ENSSWEETPG001072". Lineage: Eukaryota; Metazoa; Arthropoda; Insecta; Hemiptera; Aleyrodidae. The record is from RNAcentral.